GCUGGGCAUGGUGGCCCAUGCCUGUAAUCCCAGAAGCUUGGGAGGCCGAGGCAGGAGGAUUGUGAGUUCAAAGCCAGCCUCAG
Molecule: small RNA, 83 nt
Filed under: Marmota monax (woodchuck)
Lineage: Eukaryota; Metazoa; Chordata; Mammalia; Rodentia; Sciuridae
Source: RNAcentral